UAACCUACGGGAGGCAGCAGUGGGGAAUAUUGGACAAUGGGGGGAACCCUGAUCCAGCGACGCCGCGUGAGUGAAGAAGUAUUUCGGUAUGUGAAGCUCUAUCAGCAGGGAAGAAAGGAAUGACGGUACCUGACUAAGAAGCUCCGGCUAACUACGUGCCAGCAGCCGCGGUAAUACGUAGGGAGCAAGCGUUAUCCGGAUUUAUUGGGUGUAAAGGGUGCGUAGACGGGAAAUUAAGUUAGUUGUGAAAUCCCUCGGCUCAACUGAGGAACUGCAACUAAAACUGAUUUUCUUGAGUGCAGGAG
RNAcentral lists this ribosomal RNA (305 nucleotides) under uncultured bacterium. RNAcentral's name for it is "bacterial SSU rRNA". It matches the Rfam family "Bacterial small subunit ribosomal RNA", at positions 333 to 654 of the family's 1533-position model. The record is from RNAcentral.